Balaenoptera ricei (Rice's whale) is the source of this 1254-nucleotide long non-coding RNA. RefSeq lists it as uncharacterized. NCBI's taxonomy places the organism in Eukaryota, Metazoa, Chordata, Mammalia, Artiodactyla, Balaenopteridae. The record is from RefSeq and is a predicted model, not a curated record. The transcript is spliced from 12 exons.
CCCAAAUCCCGUGGACCUCUGCGAGACGCUAUUUAAGUGUCUCGCGGUAGGUUUUUCGGUCUCAUUCUUCCACAGAUUUCGGGUUCGGGCGCGCGUCGAACACUAAAGGAUAGCAAAGAGCUCUCGUUACAAUGUGGUUUAAACCAAAAGGCCUUACGGGUGGGAGGAUGGGACAAGACCUGUCCCUGUGUGGAUCGAGCAUUAUGGCGGUGCUCCAGCAUCUCAUCACCAAUCCUAAGGAAUUCAGCUGCCUCCCGGGGUGAAUGCAGCUUGUUCCUCUUGGAAUGAUUUUCCUGGGGAGGGAGAUGGCAACCCAGCAGGCGGCACGGUUGGUUCUUGUGAUGGUGUGCUCUUCCCUCACCCGCAUGUCACUGUCAGAUGAUUUGAAUGAUAAUGCUGAUUCUCUGUGAGGUUGUUCCCAUGGUGAUGUAUACAUCUGUCUUACAUUGUGGCACACAGGCUCUGGAGCACUCGGGCUUAGUUGCCCCACAGCAUGUGGGAUCUCAGUUCCCCUACCAGGGAUCAAACCAUUGUCCCCUGCAUUGGAAGGCGGAUUCUCAACACUGGACCACCAGGGAAGUCCCCUAUUUUAUCUUUCUUGAUUUCCUAGAUGCCUCUUCAUCUGCUCAGGGUCAAACUCCUGGAAAGAGUUGAGAGCGGUGAGUACUUGUAACCUUGCUGGUUGUAGCUUGUUUCCAGUGCCAGUGAGGAGAGCAAGCGUUCUGUCUUACCCCUGUUCUAGCCCCAGAGCCAGUAAUGGUGAACCCACUGGGGCUAACUGGGAGAGGGAAUGAAAACUUGUUCUAUAAGGAAGUGUCUGAGGUGCAGCAAAUGCCUGAGGAUAUCAUUUGCUUAGCUUUUCUUGGUUUAUCCAUUAACCCUAGCUAGAAUAAUUCUGGCUAUUUUGCUAAUUACAUGAUCUUCUCAUUCAGGAGCAGCUUGUUCCUUGUUCCUGUAUACUCAUGGAAAGCCUCCAGAGUUGAAAGGUACCAUUGCCAAUUACCUGCUUGUUUGCUCAAAGGUCCAGCUCCUUGUCUGGAGCCUGAGAAUGAAUUGAGGGGAAAGGAGUAAGCCAUAUUUCUGUUCAACUCCAGUCUGAAGUUAAGAGGUCUGAAGAAAGAACAAAGCACACAUAAUGGAAUCCAACUCUCGAAGGAUAUCAAAAAUGGAAUUUUCUUAUACAACCUACCUGUUCAAAUUAGCAUACAAUCAUUUCAGCCUUUCUAAAUAAAACUUUUUGUUUUUUUAAACCUU